Long non-coding RNA from Corvus hawaiiensis (hawaiian crow), 9080 nucleotides. RefSeq lists it as uncharacterized. The transcript is spliced from 3 exons. The record is from RefSeq and is a predicted model, not a curated record. NCBI's taxonomy places the organism in Eukaryota, Metazoa, Chordata, Aves, Passeriformes, Corvidae.
UGUGCUGCAGAUUUUUGCUGAUGAUUCUCCCUCGUGCUGUGCUCCCACCCUCCAGGAAGAGUGGGAGAAACAUCUCCCACAGAGAAAGAGGAGAGAAGAGUUACCACUGGCACCUGCAAAGCUGGGAAUUACAAUAGCCAAGACAUCCUGUAGCAGCAGGGGUGAAGAAACUCUGCUGUCUCCCCACACCCAGCAGCUCCUGGGAAUUACGAUCAGAGUUUUAUAAAGACAAACUGUCAUUGCAUCACAUAUACUGAAAAACAAAUUGCAGGGAAGCUGGGCUAUGAAUUGAUUCUCAUUGAUUAAAUUCUCAUCUCGGUGUGCUGGAGUAGUGUGGAAGAUCCAAAGGAUCCUGUUGCAUGACAGGUCUACAUAAAUCCAAGGAUUUAUGUCAGUGCUUUAUGGAGCACAUCGGGAAUAUCCCGUUUUGUCUCUAUUUGAAUAUAAAACUGUGGUUUAUUUUCAAAAAAAACAUUUGUUUUUUAAAGUUUUAAAUGGCAUUAGUCAUUUAAGACUCAGGAUCAGUAGGGUAUGUAAUUAGGCUCACAAAGGUCUUUCCAAUGUCCAGAGUGAUGUUUUUUGGCAAAUAAGAUUAUAAAUGGAAUAAGGAGGUACUAAAAAAAAGCUAACUUAUCUCUCAGAAAAUUAGAUUCAUCCAGAUAGUUUAAAUGACCUAUAUGCAAACGUUUGCUAAAUGUUUGAAAUACUGUAAGGGUGUACAGGAGGGGUCACCAAAAGAAUCCCUUUCCACUUGCAUUCAGCUGCCAUGCCCAGGUAACUCACAGCCAAACAUCCAAAAUAAAACACACACAUAUCUGAAGCCUGCAACAAAGAAUGCCUAAGAGACCUCCAAGUGGGCUCUGAUGGAGACCAGAUGCACACAACAAACACCUCAAAGCUCUACCAGUAUAGGUCCAGGGGAAUAUGGCCUUCAGGAGACAGAGCAAAGCUGUGCCUUCAUGCAAUGUUUCACAUUAAGCAUGGUGUUAAUCCUCAUGAAGUCCCUUGGCUCAAACACAGCAAGGCCUAGGUGAAAAUAUAAGCUGUAUUUUUUCAUGCCAAAGUUGUACUUGUUGCAAUUGUUUCUGAGGAUGGUUUGCUAUCUUCUGUGGGAGCUGAAAGAUGCUGAUAGAUAUCAAUACCUGCAGGAUUUUGUCAGAGCUUGAUCCGGUGCUGCCUCCCUUCACAUGUUGAUGGAUACUUUCCAUCCAUCCUCAUGUUGCACUGUUCAAUUCUCUUGUGCUGGGAUGCCAACAAAUAAGCUUGACAAUGCUGAAGCUGCUAAUGGAUGAAUUGAUGUCCCAUCAUACUGAUCAAAUUACACAGCUCUUUUCGUUGUCCAUGGUAAAAUUAAUGUGUUAUCUAGACUGCAUAUUUCGCAAAGACUCAAUGCUUCUGCUUUUGUACAGUUUCUUGCACAAUGGAGUCCUGGGCUGGUUUUUUAUUUCAGGUGCUAGGUUAUUACAAGAAGUGCAUAUACUCCAUUAUUACAAAGAAUGGAUAAUAAGAACAGUGAAUAGAUUCAAAUUAAAAAUAACUGAAAGCAAAAGGAAAAUUGUAUUCUACAAAGCUGAAGGAGCAAAUGCUAAUGCGGUGGGAUUGACUAAACCUAACCAAUAGUGGAUGAUUAGAUUGUACCUCUAGCAAGGCACAUUUGCCAUGACUGUUUUGAGGAUAGUUUACUACCUUUGGUUGGAGAUGAAAAAUAAUUCUAUAUAUCAAUACCAGCAAGACUUUGUGAAAACAAAGGCUUGUUUUAUUUUUCAUGUGAAAAAUGUUGAUUUCACUGCAAUUUUAGAAACCCCAGAAUGCUUGAAUGUUCAAAGUUCUAAAAAGAUACAGGAUAAAGACAACAGUGCUGUCAUCAACCUCGCACAAAUUCAAAGGUUCUGGGAUUUACCUAGCUUCUCAAGAAAAUGGCAGUCUCAAAUGAACUAUGAAUACUUGCUUAUUUAAAAAAGGUAGAUUUGGAAGAGAUACAUCAGAAUUUUGUCUAAAACACUUAGCUAAAUUUCAGUUAUUGGCAGUCAGAAAAACCAUUAAUAUUUUUUGCUCAUUUCUGUGACUGGUGGUGAAAUAAUUAGUAAAGGCAAAGGUCGUUUUUGUUCUGGAAAAAAAUUACUUGCUGCCUUAAUUUUUUUCUGGUUUUCUGUAACAAAGAGCAUCCUUUAUUAUAUAUUGUGGUUUUGUGGUUUGAGCUCUGUUGCAAAUAGAACUUUUUGCAGUCCUGUAAAGUUCAGUUAAGUCUGAAGUGAAAGUUACUUUGGAACAUCUCUAACUUGCAUGAUUGCUCACAUAACGGAUCACCAAAGGACUUCCUGGUGCUGGAAUCUUCAUAGAAAGAAGGCAAGAUCUGUGCCACACUGGUAGUCCCACAGUCCAUCAGUUCAAAGCACAAGGAAACAAAUGGCAUCAGUCCCAGACGGAUUAAACCAGAAUGCCAAACAUGAAAGGAGGAACAUUUCUGAAGUUCACUUAUCUUACUAACACACUUUGCUUUGGAGAAGUGGACACUACUUUCAAAAGUUAAUAAGCUUUGGAUAAAGGACAUCUCACUUUGUGCCUAAGGAAUGCUCCGUUCCAAAUUUUACUCUGAACAAUCAGUGAGUCUUCACAGGGCAACAGUUGUACGCAGAAAGAUUCAGGACUCGAGUUUAUUCAUUAUUUCGUACUUCCGUGGAUAAUUUUUAAAUAAAAUCUUACAAUAAAAUAUGAGUUUUAGUACUUCCAAUGCCUUGUAAAAUACUCAGUUAUGGGAUCUGAGCAGUUGCUUUCUGAUUUUCUCCCUGGAAAAAUCUAUAUAGAAAUCGUGUAAACUAUAUUCAACAGCAAAUACAACACAGCCCUUGGAGACAUCAUGCAUAUAUGUUUCAUAAGGGAGAUCAAAUGAAUUAUUUGUACAACUGUAACAAAGCAAGGAAUUUUUUAGGCUAUGUAAAAAGUCUGUGCUCUUCGGGUGAUAUAAUUUCAGUGCUGGUACAUAUGCUAUGAUUUGAUGAAUUGCAAUAAUUACUAUGCGCAUUGUACUCUUCCCUUCUUGUUUUCACAUUUGCAGAUUUUUUUCUGUGAGGCUUACUAAUGGUUUGUGUUUUAACCAAUUUAAUACCUCUUUUCUUAAAGCAUUUAGAAGCAUUUGUUUAUAUAAAGAAAUUGCUGUUGAACAGGCAAAAGGAUCUAUUUUAAUAUUUUAGAAAUCAGCAAAAUAGUACUGAAGAAAAACAAAGCAUUACAUAUUGUGAGAAAUGGUACAACAGAGUAUCUUAUUUCAUAUAAAAUGUAUUAAGCAAUGGCAAUCAUUUUAGGCAAAUGUUUAUUUUUUAUUUGAUCACUAAGCAAGAGAGAGCUUCAUUCAUCUUCAUUUCUGCAUUUUUAAAUCCAUAUAAUUUAGUUCACACUCGAGAAUUAAGCUGAAUGUUAAUAAUUUUCCUUCGUGUAUUGUGAAAGGCAAAAUAUUUUUCUCUUUUUUUUCUGUUUUGUUUUGCUUCUGCUUCUGGCUUUGUAUAUAGUGAGGGAAGCAUGAUAUCAAAGAAGAUAUCAUCUACAACAAAAGUAGCAGUAGGAGAUGGUUGUAAUGCUCCUUUUCCCCUCAUGAAAGAAGAGAGGAAGACUUGGAAAGGGAGUGAAAGUGUAAAAGGAAGCAGUCGAAUUUGAAAGGGGGAAUUUAGAAAACUCUUUUUCAGAUAUGGUUUGACUAGAAUUACAAUUAAUAUUACUUAUUUUGUGGCACUCUUUUCCUUUCUAAAUUCUCUGUCCUUAGCUGUAAGAUUUGUACUCUAAUUGAAGUCAGAGGAGUCUUGCUUGUAUUAAAUAGUCUCUUGAACUCUUAGGAGUGCCACUGAAAUAAAACACCAACCCACACCAAUUUAUGAAACUGCAAUCCAGCAAAUUUCCUACAGUCUUUUUUAAUCUUAAAUACGAUUCUAUAGAAUAUAGUAAUAGAGUGCAUGAAGUAAAAAGUAUGCGUGUUGACAAACAUAGUUAAAUGCCGUGCAUUUCACCCAGACCAUCAAGAAAAUUUUCCAAGACGACACAAGUGGGAGAGUAGGCACAAUUCUAUAAAAGUGUAACCUGUGCUACCUAUAGCAGGAGAUAUAUACACUAGCAAGAAUUAGUGAUCUAGUCCUGGGGGUAUUAAACAAUCUCAAAUUUUAUUUAAGUUCAUGAGAACCCUAGGUGCUUGAACCUCCAUGAAGCAUGCCCUAGACAACAAGCUAAGAAUUUAAUCUCAUAAGAAACCAGAAACAAUGAAUAUUAACCUUACAGAAAUGACAACAUCACUGGGAGGUUUUUUACAUUAGAGCUGGGUGAAAAUUUGCUGAAAAUUAUCCACAGAUACUAACUUUAUUUCUCUUUGUAAGCUGUCCACAAAGAGAUAGUAACAUUGUAAAAUUCUCAGCAGUACUUCUUAUUCAAAAUUAGCCACACACUUCUCCAGUGAAUUUUCUCUUCAAAAUCUGCUUUUGCUGAAUAUUUGAACUAGCAUUCACUUUUUCAUGAGUUAUUCAUACUAAUAAAGCUUGAGCACUCAAGUGUUCCUGGAAAGCAAAUGUGAAAGCAUUGCAAACAUGGUCUAAUUGAAAUCCACUUUCCACUUUGAGCAAAUAUUCGCAGAACAUUUUUCCUAGUAUUUACUUCACUUUAGUUGACAUUAUGGGCUAAAAUCUCACUGAUGUGCACUAAAGAAAGACGUCAGAGCAGAAACCUCUUCAAUAAUGCAGGUGCAAUAUUCCUGGAAGAGGCAGGUCUGUUGAACAGGCAUAGCAUGAUUUAACCUGCUCUGUACUUUCAUUUUGUUCAGAAGACAGCCUUAAAGGAGACUGUUCAACAGCUAAGUGAGCUCCCUUUAUUGUUUAACCACACAUUAAAAUGUAAGAACCCAUGUUGUACCUCACUCUAAGCUCCCCUUCAGCAUUAAUCAAUAAUGUUAUUCAUCUAGCUUCUUUCAUAAUCACCAGUGAUCAACUUAUUGCUGGUGUUUAAGAUAAGCUUCUUCAACAUAUUUGUUGCUGACAUGAGAGGACAAAACACAGGGAGUGACCAGUGGUGUAACUUGUCUUACAUUUGUGAUAGAUAGAUAGAUAGAUAGAUAGAUAGAUAGAUGAAGCUAUUCCCCCUGAAACAUCUUGCUCUAUGGAAAUAGGCAAAAUUCUUCAGUCCGAUCCAUCCAAACUUCCUAUACAGACAUGUUUCAGUGCAUUAGGAACCUCAUCCUUUCUUGGAAUAUGAUGAGGUCUAUAGAGCAACAGGAGCCUCCAGAGGGCAAUUCUGAUCUUGGUUGACCAGAACUACUUCUGGAUGUGCUCAUCUUUCCCCAUCAAGGAGAAGCAGGCCUUUCAGUGACAUAAUGUUCAAUGGAUGUGCCUCAGAAAAGUGUUGGUGUUGGGGGGGAAAAAUUCAAAUCCUAUUGUCUCCAGUGUCAAUAUGUAAGAAUUUCCACAGUCCUGUUAUCACACUCCCUUGUAAAAUUAUCUUCUUUGUAUCCUCUUUAAGAUGCACUGGUCUAGUGAGAAUCACUCAUUCAUGCCAGCAACUCCCUGAGACUUUGAUUGCCUUUUAAGUUCACCUCCUCUUAUUUACUCAUUCAUUACAGACUGUUAAGUGAAGCACUGAAAGGGGUAAGAGAUAUUAUGUCUCCUACAGAACUCUCAGAGGAAGAAAACUUCAAGAAAGUUUGUUGUAAGUUGUCUUUAUAUCUCUCACUGUGAAGGCUGCAUUGCUAAUGUCACAAAGCCUAUUGACAGUUUUUGGAGGAUUUUUUUGUAAACCUAGUGAACACCACCUUUGUGCAUGGCCCCUCUGGGUCACAGCUCAGCCAUUUAGAUGAGUGUCCUUAUGUCUACCAAGAUUUGUACUGUACACAAAUUGAAGCCACUGGCUGAUAUGAAACAAAUAGAAAGUAUUUUCCCCAUAAUCCUCAACACAAUACACAAUCUUUGCAUACAGAACAGAUAAUUGUAACAUAUGCAAUUCACCCUUAUUGUUGUACAAAUUUGUAGCUACCUAAACUUUUUUAUUGGUACAUACAUACUGUCACUCCAACUAUAUCCAUUGGCUACAUGCAGAUAAUAAAAUUAUCUCUACUGCAAUAGUUCUUCUUUCAAUAUGACGUAUCUUAUUGCAAUAAAUUUUCUUUAACAAGGUUGCAAGACAUGAAGUCAGCUUUCUCUCUAGCUGUUUUUUGUCUUUUGGGUUCUAAGUAUUCAGUCCUUAAAAAAUAGUUUCCUACAUACUAAAUACUGUCACCCAGUCAUUUUCAUAUAGUUAAAUAAAGCACUAUAGCUUGGAUUUUAGGUCCAAUGGCCACACCAUGAGAAUACAAUUCAUUCACUAAUUAAAUGCCCACUACCUCCAUCAGUAGUGCCUGCCAACUCCAAAUUUAUAUUGCAAAGAACUUUCAUUUUAUAUGAUGCAUAGAAAAGAAGAAGAAGGCGGGGGAAAGAAGACCAAGACUAUUAAUAUGUAAAAAAUUACCUCUUUAAGGUCAGGAGCACCUCAAACACAGUCACUAGAAAUGGAAAGGAGACUCUUAGGUUUAUAAUAAUAUUCUAAUGAUAUAAACAAUAGCUCUGAGUUUCCCUAGGUAUCACAAAUAGCUAGUUGACAUGCUUUUGUUGCUACUCUGUGACUACUGGUUUAUUGCCCUAUUGCAUGGGGGCAGAAAGGCAUGUCAAUUUUAUGUGGCUUAUUGUCAAAGUUCAUAAAGCUAGAUUAGGCUGAGUUCUUGUUAUGCUUGCUCCUUCCGUGCAGCAGAACUACAUACUAUUUUUCCUGGACAUAAGUGUGAAAAUUAGUAUGAAUAUUUAUUUUAAGACUGGUUCAGGUUCAGCUUCCCUUCAUCUCUAGUAUUUCUACAUAUUCAUACACACACCUUAUUUAGUUACAUUUUUUAGGGGUUAUUUUUAUAUUUUUAAUUGUUCGGUAGACUUAGGAUAUGUAACAAUGGAUAACCACGCAAUACAUUAAAUACUUAUGGGUAUAUUGUGCCUUCUGUUAUAAUAUAAAAUCCAUCUAUUCUGGUUGAUGGGUUUUAACCUCACACAGAAUACUUUAAACUCCAUUUGGACUUGUGCCUACAAUCACCUUAGCAAAGUCUCUUAAGUAACUGCGCACAGCCUAAUUAGUAUGCAUUAUCAAUUAACAAACUUAAUAGCCGGCAGAUUGAUUAGAUCCUCUGUUGCAGGGGCAGAGCUGAAGCGAAACAGAAUGAAAAAUCAUUGCACGCAUACACUGCUGCUUUGUUAUUUUCUCAGAUCCCCUCCUCCUCCUCCACAUUCCUUUAAUUAAUGCAUACAUAUGGUUCUGAAUAUCUUGUAAACUGGAGCUUGCUCUAACUCUUUAAUAAAACUCACUGGUAGAUGAGAGAGCCAUAGUCCAUGCCUUAUUUAUUUCUGGCUGAAAACAUAAACCAUUUGAUUUCACCCAGGUCUUUCCUCUCUAAGUGGUGCAAGUUUUAGAGAUUUGCUGCUUCUAAGCUGCUUGUUUUCACAGUGACUGAUAGAGAAAAACAGGUAAGUUGGAGCUGUGUACAUCACUUCAAAUAACCCUUAGCUGAGAAGAUGUUUCAGGCAUCAUACUCACGGUAUGCUGACACAUACCACAAGGUGGAUGCCAUAAUUACUGUCAUAAAAAAAAAGCAUAGCACAAAAGAAGGCAUGUAAUCUUAUAAAUUCUGUUAUAUUGAUGAGCUGGAAAAUAAGCAUACAGGAAGAAAAGCCAUCCUAUUUUGAAAGUAGGAAUCAUACUAAAAAAUUUCACUGUCAGUUUUAGAUAAAAUGCUGGUGUUAGACAGGAUUUGUGUCCUUUGAUGCAAACCCUCAAAGACUACUGAAAACAACACUGAAGACUAUCAGGUGCUGCCUUGCAGUGGUGGCAGGCUCUAUCCUUGGGCAAAUUGGCCUUUGUACACUGAGAAAGAAAGUGGUUCUUACUACAGUGAUGUGAGCAGUAGCAGCAAGUUUCAGAGUUAAUAUCUAUUUAGCAUUUAUAUAGCAUUUACAUAUGCAAAUCACUGAAGAAAUAUUAGCUAAUUAAUCCAGGUCAGGUCAUGUAAAAGUAUCCAUGAGAGUUGAUACUGAUAAAUCCAAUAGAGGUGGAACUCUACUUUCCCAAAGGCCUAACACAUGCUGUUGUCAGGACCUAAAUCAGUGCUUGGGGGUCCCUGAUUCCCACAUCUGCACUCCUCAGUGAGGUUGUGCUACCACAAUUGUUACCAUAUUCCUAACCAGAGUCACAAACCCUGGCUGAGGUUGGAAGUGACCUCUGGAUGGACUGGUCCAAGCCUCCUGCUCAGGUGAUAUCAGUUACCUGAAGGUAAAAUUUCUUGAAGAAUGGCUGCUCCUCUGAGCCCUCUGAUGAGCCAUAUCUGAAGAAGUGGGUGGCUAUAACCUCAUCUUGAUAUAAAGGCACUGACAGACUGAACUCUCUAGCUGAGAAAAGAGGAACAAUUGACGGUCGUGUGCCAAACUGUGUUUUUCUUUUCUAAGUAAGAAGUUAAGCAUACUGAUACAAACUCAGUAAAAUACUCUGCAGUAUCUUGCAAAAGGAAAGGUGGUGCUUAUCACUGGAUUGAGACACUCUUUGUCAAAAAAAACCAGAAGCUUGCAGACCCUGCUGAGUUCAGGACUCUCUUGACAAUGGGAGAUUUGUCUUGCUGGCACCUGAGAGUUCCUGCUAUUCCACUGUUCCUUUGCAAGCCAUUCAAAGACUUUCCAUGUGUGUUUUUCACUCCAAUACCAUUGGCUUCUCUAGCCCAUAACUUUUUUCUUUUUAAGCGUGUUCUCCUAAACAAAAAACAUAAGGCAUAUGGAAGCAGCAUGCUCUAUACUGUCUUUGUAGUCUAUUACUAUGCCUUAGCAUACCUUUUUUUCCCCAUCCCCAAAAAGGCAAACACAAAGAGUUAGCAACUAUUUUUACCCUGAGCUGAAAACAAAUAUAGGCAAUUUAAAUAAAACAAACUUAAGUGGAGCUAGAGACUAUCCUCUCAGGUCCUGCUGAUGUCACUUGUGCUUUACAUAAAGCAUCACACACAGUAUUAUCUACUACCUUCUCUAACACAAUUAAUUAAACUAUUUCCACUGCUA